CCUACGGGUGGCAGCAGUGAGGAAUAUUGGUCAAUGGCCGGAAGGCUGAACCAGCCAUGCCGCGUGAAGGGCAGAGGCCUAGGGGCGGUAAACUUCUUUUGUGCGGGAGCAAUAAUGGUCACGUGUGGCCAGACGAGAGUACCGUACGAAUAAGCAUCGGCUAACUCCGUGCCAGCAGCCGCGGUAAUACGGGGGAUGCAAGCGUUAUCCGGAUUUAUUGGGUUUAAAGGGUGCGUAGGCUGUGAGGGAAGUCAGCGGGGAAAUGCCCCCGCUCAACGGGGUGAAGUGCCAUUGAUACUGCCUUGCUGGAAUGCGGAUGCCGUGAGAGGAAUGUGUGGUGUAGCGGUGAAAUGCAUAGAUAUCACGCAGAACACCGAUUGCGAAGGCAUCUCACGAAUCCGCGAUUGACGCUGAUGCACGAAAGCGUGGGUAUCAAACAGGAUUAGAUACCCCAGUAGUC
This 460-nucleotide ribosomal RNA is filed under the name uncultured bacterium. RNAcentral describes it as "partial 16S ribosomal RNA". It matches the Rfam family "Bacterial small subunit ribosomal RNA", at positions 338 to 795 of the family's 1533-position model. The record is from RNAcentral.